GACGAACGCUGGCGGCGUGCUUAACACAUGCAAGUCGAACGGAAAGGCCCUGCUUUUGUGGGGUGCUCGAGUGGCGAACGGGUGAGUAACACGUGAGUAACCUGCCCUUGACUUUGGGAUAACUUCAGGAAACUGGGGCUAAUACCGGAUAGGAGCUCCUGCUGCAUGGUGGGGGUUGGAAAGUUUCGGCGGUUGGGGAUGGACUCGCGGCUUAUCAGCUUGUUGGUGGGGUAGUGGCUUACCAAGGCUUUGACGGGUAGCCGGCCUGAGAGGGUGACCGGCCACAUUGGGACUGAGAUACGGCCCAGACUCCUACGGGAGGCAGAAGUGGGGAAUAUUGCACAAUGGGCGGAAGCCUGAUGCAGCAACGCCGCGUGCGGGAUGACGGCCUUCGGGGUGUAAACCGCUUUCGCCUGUGACGAGGCGUGAGUGACGGUAAUGGGUAAAGAAGCACCGGCUAACUACGUG
Molecule: ribosomal RNA, 468 nt
Filed under: uncultured bacterium
Lineage: Bacteria
Description: partial 16S ribosomal RNA
Rfam family: Bacterial small subunit ribosomal RNA
Source: RNAcentral